RNAcentral lists this long non-coding RNA (3562 nucleotides) under Phocoena sinus (vaquita). Its description in RNAcentral is "lncRNA (ENSPSNG00000009379.1)". The record is from RNAcentral. Lineage: Eukaryota; Metazoa; Chordata; Mammalia; Artiodactyla; Phocoenidae.
AUUGUUAAUAUAGGGGGAGGCUAGGGCUCCAUGUGGGAGUGGGACUUUUUCCAGGUCAUGGCCUUAUGGAAGGACAUUAAAGGUACGUUGCAACCCAUGACACGUAUGGCAGACUGAUCCUGAUCAUCCCUGUGGACAGGGAUUCUGAAAGAGACAUUUGUAAUGUCAGUUGCUUUGUACUUGCCUCAGCUUGGGCCACAGCCUUUAUGGCUGUCAUAAUUUCAGGUAACACUAGUAGUGCUCAAGCUGCGUGACUGCAUUGAGCCUCUAAUAAUCAAUUGAAUCUCCAUACACCUGAAGCCUAAUCCACAGGCCAGAUGGGGCUACUGAAUGGAGAAAUAGUCUCACAGAGAAUUUUUGCUUCAUUAAGCUCAGUAAUGAGGAAGCUGUCUCUUUUCAUCCUCUAGGGAGUUGCUUUGGUAGUCAAAGGGACUAGGUACAGAUAGACUGUUAGGUUCAGACUACCUAACAGACUACCAGAGCCACUGAAAUGGCCUCAGUUGUAGUAUUUAUGAUCAUGGCUUGGGGAUAAGGAUGGGGUGUUAAGGACGCACACUUAGACUAUAUAAAUAUACAUACAUAUAUAUAUAUAUAUUGUUUUCCCUCAUCUUGGUACAAAAGGACCAGGGAAUGAAAUUCUUCCUCACCUCCCCAUUGAACUGUGACCUUGGCAAACGUCCUCAUGUUCCCAGUGAGGACAUAGGGACCUUGGCCUAACUCAUAGUCUUGUUUAUUUUUAAAGUUAAGAGGUUUGGAUAAAAGUAGAGAGAUUUCAGGUCAAGAUUCACUGGGAGGGUUGGAAGGAAUAUUAUUUAUAUUAGUCAUAGGAGUUGUCAGUAUGUGGACUCUGUUGUGCCCCCAGUGGCCAUUAUCUAGUCACAAGUAUCUGAAGGAGAGUCUAUCAGUCUCCUCCUUGAGACCCAUUGUUGGGUAACAAGACCCAUAGAUGUCUUUGGGAAAGACCUUAACCCAAUGAUCCAGGAGUAAGUACCCAAUUACCAUUUUUACAUCACUCUGACUACUAGUGAAAAGUUAGUGUCUUGCCAGUAGCUGCUUUUUCUUUGCUUGGAAAGUUUUCAUUUCACACAUGGAUUGUGCCAUGAACCAAGUGACAUCACCUUGUAAGAAGGUUUAAUUGAGAUAGGUGACCAGUGAGAGUGGCAAGAAUGAACUUAAAUCUGAGUCUGGUAAACAAUCUCAUCAUUUACUUUUCUUACUUCUCAUUGUCAAAUCAAGAAACUAUCAGGUGGCUUGCAGAGCCCCUUAUAGGUGGCCGUAAGAGUAGACCAAAAAAGUUUUCCAGUGUCAGAGAGCUCACCAUGAUUGGACCAAACCAGUCCAAGAACAAAUAAUAGCUAGUAAAGGAAGGAGAAGGUCUCAGGUGUACAUGACAUUUCUCCCACCUACCUCCUUCUUCAUCCUCCUUGGGCAAAGUGGUCAUGGAAGAUGUUCUGAAAGAGGGGGUUCUGCAGUAACACACCAGAAAAGGUGCUUCUGUCCUUAAAUAAUUUUAACAAGAUUACUUUCUUUGUGGUGGAAUCAAACUAUCCAGAUCUCUUUGGUUUCUUUGGGUCACUGGGCAAAGCAAUCCUGAGGGCUCUACCUACUUUCUCAUUAAAUAUGAGAAACAUUUGUUGCAUCAAGGAUGUCAUCACUGCCCGGGACAUGUUUAGAUUUAACAGUAGUCCUUGUGUCCUAUUCUGCAUGCAACUUUAGGUGACCAACUACAUUGUUUUCUGGUUUAUCUUUCCUGUAUUUCCUUUUCUAAAGGUAAGUAUCUUAUAUUUUCUUUUCAUUUCCCAUUCUUUUCUUUCCUAAAAGAUAGCAUACUUGAUACCUUCUCUUUUCAUUUUUUCUACAAUUAACCUAUCACCUAACAGUCCCUCCAAGUUAGGUUAUAAGUAUCUUUUUAUAGCUUUAUGUGUAACUCUUUGUACCACAUCAUACACCAUAAUUUGUGUUACCCUAAUUUAUAGUAUGUACCUUGUUUUUCAACCAGUCUCACAUGCUAGUACAUUUAGGUGCUUUUGAGUAUUUUGCAAUUAAAAAUGUGUAAUGAAUAACCUUUACAUAUACAUUUUCAUUAUUUGGUCUGUGAGUAUAUAUUAACCUAAGUUAUAAUAAUCUAAAACAAGUAGGGACUAAUAUAAAAUAUAUUUGAUGCCAAAAAAUAUUUAUGAAACAGUGAGUCUUACACACAUUAAAAUUUUCCUCACAAUUUUUAUGUCAGGUCUAGCAUUAUGGUAAUUUACUUAUAUUUUAUGUUUAUAAAAAUGAAAGAAAAUACUGCUAAACAUGUGUAUAAAUUUGAUAUAUAGGGAUUUCACAAUAGACCUGUUUUUCAGUUUAAUGCACUAAAUGUAUCUCUUUAUGUAGCUCAUGAUCACGUGUCAGAUGAAAAUCUUAUGUUUAAGCAUCAUGACUCAGAAACAGAAAUGCAUGCAGAGAAACAAAAAUCUUCUGGAGAUGAAAGUCUCAUUAGUAAGUUUAAUAAUUAUAGAUGACUUUAAAUUAUUUUGUACUCAUCAGAAGAUCCUUUUUCUUUGGUUUGUGAAUAUGUAUUUGGGCAUAUUUUUUUUGAACUAGUUAAAAGAAUCCUUGUAUUUAUUUUUUACACAGCACAAAUGCAGGUGACACAGUAACUCCAUAAUUCCUCACAAAACUUAUUAACUUAUCAACUGAGAAUCUAUGUUCUUAAAAUCUGCAUCAUUCAUAGCUAUACACUCUAUGGAAUCCAUUCCAUAGUAGCAGAGGAGAACCUUAACUCAAAGCACCAAGUUUCCAGGCAUUACUGCAAAUGUCUUGUUUUCAUUCUCUGAUACAUGCAGUCAAACUGCCUAUGAAGCAAAUACCAAUUCACCUUAAACGCCAAUGGAUAAGGGAAAACAAUUGGGAAACCAACAUUAUUCUUACAUCUAAAACUGAUUCUACUUGUUUACCUUGUUAUAUUUCUUUCCAUGAACAUUUUAACUUUUAAUGUAGCUAUAAUUAAUAUGAAUAUAAAUUGAAACUUAAACAUAAUCUCUUUCAGAUUCAUCUAACAAUUUAGGGCGUUCAUAUCUGUUUCAUAAGUCCUAAGGAAAACAAAAUGUGACCUCUAAUCUAGAAUAUUCUUGUAAUCUUUAUUAAAAGUUAAAUUAGAAUUUUAUAGCAAAGUAAUAUGGUCUGUAUGUCCAAAUUAUGGAUUUAAAAAUUCCUUAAUUUAUUUAGAUUAAGAUACAAAGCUGAUUCCCAGUAUAUUUCAUAGAAGUGUGUUUUCAUUUUUUGAACAAGCAGGGUUCAGUGGACAUUUUAAGGAUCUUGCUCGCAUCAGCCCUGUAUAUACCCAGAGAUUACUGGAUCCACUAAAUGGACAAUGAAAAUUGGUCGAGGGCUUCCCUGGUGGCGCAGCGGUUGAGAGUCCGCCUGCCGAUGCAGGGGACACAUGUUCGUGCCCCGGUCCGGGAAGAUACCACGUGCCGCGGAGCGGCUAGGCCUGUGCGCCAUGGCCGCUGAGCCUGCGCGUCCGGAGCCUGUGCUCCGCAAUGGGAGAGGCCAUAGCAGUGAGAGGCCCGCGUACCGU